This 465-nucleotide ribosomal RNA is filed under the name uncultured bacterium. Its description in RNAcentral is "partial 16S ribosomal RNA". It matches the Rfam family "Bacterial small subunit ribosomal RNA", at positions 28 to 507 of the family's 1533-position model. The record is from RNAcentral.
GACGAACGCUGGCGGCGUGCUUAACACAUGCAAGUCGAACGGAAAGGCCCUGCUUGCCGGGUACUCGAGUGGCGAACGGGUGAGUAACACGUGGGUGAUCUGCCCUGCACUUCGGGAUAAGCCUGGUAAACUGGGUCUAAUACCUGAUAGGAGCCAUUUUUAGUGUGAUGGUUGGAAAGUUUUUUCGGUUUUGGAUGAGCUCGCUGCCUAUCAGCUUGUUGGUGGGGUAAUGGCCUACCAAGGCGGCGACGGGUAGCCGGCCUGAGAGGGUGGACGGCCACAUUGGGACUGAGAUACGGCCCAGACUCCUAAGGGAGGCAGAAGGGGGGAAUAUUGCACAAUGGGCGCAAGCCGGAUGCAGCGACGCCGCGUGGGGGAUGACGGCCUUAGGGUUGUAAACUCCUUUCGCUAGGGACGAAGCUUUUUGUGACGGUACCUAGAUAAGAAGCACCGGCUAACUACGUG